Solanum verrucosum is the source of this 370-nucleotide long non-coding RNA. RefSeq lists it as uncharacterized. Lineage: Eukaryota; Viridiplantae; Streptophyta; Magnoliopsida; Solanales; Solanaceae. The transcript has 4 exons. The record is from RefSeq and is a predicted model, not a curated record.
GUUUGCAGAAAUUGGUGAAUCUGAAAAAAAAUUUGUUGCAAGGAGGAACAUGGCAAUGCUUUAAAACACGAGCAGAUCUGGAAAAUAUGGACGGCCUCUGCCUCUUCAACUUUACUCCAAACAAGAAGGACCUUAGGGGAAUUUUGGAUCGAGGCCUUGCUGGUUGUUUUUUCAGCCCAAGUUCUUCGUCCAGGCAUUCAACACUGGUUCAUUCUCUUUGGACCUUGACAAUCUUGUUAUCACAUCGAGAAUAUUAGAUAGAGAUGAUAACCUGUUCUCUUAUCGAUUUCCUGGAGUGCCUCGGACUUUUUCAAACCUGAUCUUGGACGAGCAGCAGCAAUUUCAUCAUCAACAUUGAACUUUAUUAGCC